RNA transcript from Betta splendens (Siamese fighting fish), 16932 nucleotides. It is a transcript of the gene named sorting nexin 19b, with no coding region annotated. The record is from RefSeq and is a predicted model, not a curated record. The transcript has 15 exons. Lineage: Eukaryota; Metazoa; Chordata; Actinopteri; Anabantiformes; Osphronemidae.
AGUAAUGGCUAGCUAAUGAUAUUUAAUAAGACACGAACCUUUACCCAGAUACGUACUACGUUAAGCCCCUGCACUGCCAUGUCUGAGGUGUUGGGAAAGAGAAGCUUGUUGGGUAUUGCUGUAGUGUUGAUAUGGCUAGUGCUGUUCCACCUGCUGGUCAACCUCUGGCUGCUGUGUGUGUUCACCAGUUUGCUGGUGGUGCUUGGGGGCUGGCUUGGCUCACAGGCAGUCCUGGAGUCCAAAAAUAUUGUCCACCUGGAAAGGUUUAUCACACUUAAACAGGUUUUGUCUUCUGUGGAGGAUGAACAAAACUUGGAUAAGGAGAUUCAUAGUACAGUGAGGAAAAUCAUUCGGGAUUUUGUCAACUCCUGGUACUCCAGUGUGUCCUCUGAGAGUGGUUUCGAAAUAGAGGUUCAAGAGGCCAUGAUCGUUAUGGCUAUGGAGCUGAAAAUGCGUGCAAGACAGAUUGACAGGAAGGAACUGACACGAAGGAUCCUGGAUUUGUUUGGUAGCCACUUGCAAGAUUACAUUACAGCCAAGGAGCUAGUGAUUGAGCAGGAGACACCAUUAACAGGGAAGUGGGGCAGUGAAAGUCAGCGGCUUUGGAAAGCCUUCUCCAAUGUUGCCACGCCCCAUCUUGCUAUGGCCAGUGACACAGUUAAACUUAACUACACCAGAGCAGUUGUAGAUAUGUUGCUGCACGUUUUGGUGCCAUCAGUGCACUUGGAGUCCCGCACUGGACGGUUUGUUGUAGGAGAGCUCAUCACUUGCAAUGUUUUUCUUCCUCUUAUUGCAAAAUUAUCUGACCCAGACUGGUUAAAUCUCCUUGUGACUGAUUUUUUUGAAAAGUCCAGUGUAACCCAAUUACCAAUUGCAACUGAGCUAUUAACUUCAUCCCUACCACCAUCAUCAGCUCCACAUGUUAAAUCGGAGCUUACACCCCUACAAGAUCCUCAAAAGAAUGCCGAUGGUCCCCUACCAGGAGCCAAGACUGAAAUAGUCCAUGUGGCACAGAUACCUGAGCUUUCUGACUAUCAUGUGGUUGACCUUAAAAGGGUAGAUUCUCCACAUAGCAAAAAUGAAGACGAAGAAAAUCUAUUUUUUCAAAAGCAUUAUAUGAGAGGGAGCAAGCCAAAUCCCUUCUACCAGGAAAAUGAUUUUGAUGUGGAUUCUCGUUUGCCUGAUUGUAAUCAGAGAUCAACUGAUUUUCUUUUUAUGAUAGAUCAGCGGGAAGUUGUGGAUAAGAAACAGAAUAACAGUAUAUUAUCUGAUGAAACCAGUGCAAUGAACUUGGGUGUUUGCUCUUAUCCCGUGGAUGGCCCCUUCCCUGAAGUUCAGGUGGAUUCAGAACAUGUGGAACAUCAAAAUGGCUGUGUCCACUCACCAUCUAAAUCAGCAGAGACAGUGCCUUUUAAGAGUAAAAUCCAUGCCCGAGAGAAAGCAGACAGUUCUCUUUCAGUAAACCCAAACAAGGACCUCCUUCUGUAUGUAGAACAGACUGGGUUGGGAAACCAUAACGAGCUGUCUGUAGUAAGCAAUGUAAGUAUGCAAGUGUCAUCCACUAUGCCAUCCUUCAGUUUCGACCCUCUCUGCAGUCCAGAGGGACCAGCCAUUAUCCAGAACCUCCGCAUCACUGGUACCAUCACAGCUAAGGAACACAGAGGCACAGGCUCACACCCCUACACCCUUUAUACCAUCAAAUACGAGACGGCAUUGGGAUGUGACAAAUCCAUUCAGUCAGGCUCUGAGGAUGCUGAUAUUUUACAGUCAAGUUGGGAGAAUCCAUCUUCUAUUCAGCCAGUAGCAUAUCACACAGUCAACAGACGAUACAGUGAGUUUCUUAACCUGCAAACACGGUUGGAGGAAAAAGUAGAACUACGGAAACUCGUUAAAGGUGUGAAAGGUCCCAAAAAAAUAUUUCCAGACAUGCCUUUUGGGAAUAUGGACAGUGACAAGAUAGAGGCUCGAAAAGGUUUGCUUGAAACCUUUCUGAAGCAACUCUGUGCCAUUCCUGAGAUAGUCAACAGCGAAGAGAUGCAAGAGUUUCUGGCUCUUAACACAGAUGCUAGGAUUGCUUUUGUCAAGAAACCUUUCAUUGUGUCACGCAUAGACAAGAUUGUGGUGAAUGCUAUUGUGGACACUCUGAAAACGGCAUUUCCUCGUUCUGAACCACAAAGCCCCACAGAGGAGAAUGAGUCAGAGGUGGAUGGAGGGAAAAUAAGUGCAGACAAGAAGAACAAGUCUCGGCUAAAGUUGUCUAGUAAAAACAAUACCUUUAUGAAUGGCUCUGAUGUAAAACCACAAGUUUUGUUCAGCUGUGAGCAAAGUAGCACAAUGUUUAACAGGAUGUCCUUGGAAGAAUUGCAAGGCUUCAUUACUGAACAAGAAAAACUGGUCAUAAAAGCUGAGACGAUGAGGGAGGACAGUCCCGUAGUCAGUGAACUUAGCGGCUGCAUGGAUGACACUUUGAGUGAAAAAUUUAUAUCUGAACAUGGUAAGCGGAGACAAGGCGCAGCCUCUGAGAUGGGACUGGCUGAGGUGGCUCUAAACAUCCUGUGUCUUCUGAUGAGGGAGCAGUGGAGCUGGCUCUGUACAGAAAACAUUCAGAGGACCACCAGACUGCUGUUUGGAACCCUUAUUGACAGAUGGCUAGAUGUGAAUGUAGCCAACCUGACAUGUACCAGGUACUGGGUGGUGUACCUGCAGGUUAUCCAGGAGGCUGUAUGGCCAGGUGGAGUUCUACGAAUGAAACCUCAAUUAGAACGAAGCCAGCAACAGAAGGAUGCCACCAGACAACAUGCUUUACAUUGUCUGAUGAGAUUCCUACCAGAUUUAGUGUUGGAUAUGUUGGGCUCAGAUAACUACAAACGCAGCUGGCAGACUGUGUUGGAGUCACUUCAAAACCCCUAUAUUAACAGACACCUAAUCUACUGUAUAUUUGACCUCCUGCUGGAGUUCAUUGUUCCUGAAAUACCUGAAGUGAACUUCCAGAGGAACCUACUGCAGACCCUGUCCAAAAAUCCAGAGAAUACGCUGGCAUAAAAAUACAACCCAGAGACCCACCAGAUUUACUUUUAAUCCAUUUCUGAAAUGCAGUGUGACAUGAUGGCUCGUCCUGUUCCACUGCUUUUUUUCACUGAAAGUUAGCUGAUAUUGCAGCUGGAGGACACAGGCCACAGCAUGGAUGCCUCACCGACUCCCACAAUGUCUGCAGCCAUCACGUUGUGGGCAGACUCACCAGCCACUACAAGCCACAUGAAAGGAUUCCUCUCUGAAGCUUCAGAGACUGUGAAUCUGUCAUACAAGCGUGUGUGUCUGACACAGACACCUGCUUAUGACAAUCUUCUGUAAACGAAAACUAGGAAAAGAGAAACAGCAGAGUGAGCUAUAUCUGCCGUCCUUGGAGACGUGCUCUGCCACAGACACUGGUUGAAACAACAACAGGAGAGGCUUCAGACGUGAUUGGCCCAAUAGAGCUGCAUGUGAGGAUCCAAGAAAUGUCUGCCAUCGAAGGACAACUGUCCCAUGCUACAUCAGGCUCCACCCGCUCGGGCGCUCACAGUAGACUGAUGGCUGGGGAAGAAGGAAGGUGAUGGUUUCUUUUCACUUGACCCAGAAGACGGUACCACACACACGCACAUUUCCAUGCAUGCAAUGAAGAAACACGCUUACAGCUGAUACACACUCAGUUGAACCAAAUCUUUGCUCAAUUGAUCCAUAGUCAUGCUUGUCUGAUUGCAGUGAAGACUGGCCUUUUGCUAAAAACAUCCUACAUCCUUUAAAAUGAUAACAGACAGCUAAAUGACAACUGCUGCAUGACAUGGCAGGGUGAUGGGUUUAAACAAUUUCAACUUGCAAAACAUUCAGUAAUAAAAUCAUGUUUCUAAAUAGAUUUGUUUACACUAUACUGUAGGUUUAGGCUGAAACAGACUAUUAAUGACUAUUAAAGGGGAGAAGACUCAAAAUUCACAAGUAAUAAUAAAUGAACGUACUAGACUAUUAAAGAAAAAUGUACUGUUUUGGUAAAUGAACGUACCAGACUAUUAAAGAAAAACGUACUCUUUUACUGUCUUGUGCAACAUCUGACAGCGAAACACCUAAAAACUCCUUUUUGCUUUCAAACUUAUGCUCAGUUAAACUAUUAGGAAGAGAUCUUAAAGCAUGUGUAGUUUAGGUAUUUGCAUUAGAAUAGAGAGCAGAAACAAUCGGAGCAUUUGCUCUUGGCAUGACGUGUGUGUGUGUGUGUGUGUGUGUGUGUGUGUGUGUGUGUGUGUGUGUGUGUGUGUGUGUGUGUGUGUGUGUGUGUGUGUGUGUGUGUGUGUGUGUGUGUAUGUGGUGUGUGUGUGUGUGUGGCGAGUGCAAACAAUUCUUCCCCAGAGUUGUUAUCUCCUUUUUUUCCUGUUACUCUCAUCACUUUUGUUUCUUUUAGGGCUUUAGUUUUGAUAGUUUUGCUUUUUCAAAUCUCAUCUUUUGUAUCUAACUUUUCUUUUAAAGGUGCAUAUGUCUUUUACACUAAGUGAUUCUCCUUUUGAACCCAUAACCAGUUUCCCACUCAUGUAAACAUGACGCACUAAUAACCAUAUUUACUUUUACUUUUGUAAUGCUGCAGUCUGGUGGUGGAGACUUAGAUCGCCCCGAACCCAUCUUUCAGAGUCCCGGCGGUUUCCUGCUUUAGACUUUUUUGUGUUCCGGCCGGAACCUUUUUUCGAAAUUUCUCUUCCACGGACGUCUCCGUAGAAAGGGAACCGCUCAGAUCAGCGACAGGGUUCUCGGAAGUGCUCCCUCACCGUCAGGCCCCUCUAAGACCCGGGUCCCUCGUAUCUCAAGAACACUUUCCCCUGCAAACGCGCUCCGUAUUUCAGAAGCCGUCUUUUAUUUCCUUGUCCACACCCUUUGGACUGCGCUCAGAUCUGAACACUGGUCUGUAUCCUCAGUACAGACAAAAACAAGCUACGUUCCACGAGCCAACCCUUAGCAACCACCGUCUCGGCCACCAGGGCAGACUUUGACCUAAUUCAUUUUACCCGAAUAUUAAAUUUUAAAAUUAUAAUUUUUUUCCCCUAAUAUUAUAUUUUAGAUGUUUUCAGCCAAAUAGUCGUUUGAGAAAUAUUAUCAUCUCUAGUCCUUAUUAUGUUUUCUUUUAUGUUUUAGUCUAGUAGGGGAUGCUUUAGAAUUAAUUGUUAUUUGCCUUACUUUCCUUAAACCAAAUGAUCAGAGCCAAGUAAACCCCGAAUACCUGAAACCAAUGUCAAACCCGUUUUCUUUUUUUUUUCCUCGAUAAGUCGCGACAAAACGGAAUCUCUCUCACCGAGCCGAGUAGAGGUUGGAUUUCGAGUUCGUUGGAUCUCGUCAGAGGCGAUCCAGACUGGUGAGCAGUCCUCCCACUCUAGAACAGCUGUAAAGGUUCGGAGGCUGAGCGACACUAGUCCUCAGGACUAUCGUCCCUGGUCACACCGUCCAGACGACCUGCAGCGGGAUCCUGUUCGUAAACGUCAAUUUCUGUGGUGGAAAUUUUCCAUAAAGAAGCAGAUGAGAGAGUUGUCCUUUUGUGCGAUUUAUUGAAAUAAUAAAGAAAAUUAAAAUAAUGGGGAAAGCAAAUAAAAAGCAUGGAUGUUGAUCGUGCACAUCAACAAACCAAAAACCAGCUGGGGAGAUCAGUGCACGCACCACGGAGGUGUGAUGCAAAGAGCCCACGAUCCUCAAGUUGUCUCUGCCUUUUAACCCCUUUCUCUGGCUCUGGUGGAAUGUCUCUCUUUGUGCCACUUUAUCUCGCUGUGAGUGAGAAUGUUUGCUUUCUCACUUCUGCAUCAUCAUGUCUUGUUAUCCAAAGGAAGGAACACCGAGCUUCCAAGACAAGAUGCAUUCGCUUUAACAGCCUUGGGUCUGGUGGGGAGUUAGAUAGGAUGGAGCCAGAGUCCGGGUGUAAAAGACAAACAUCCAUCCAUCCAUUUUCUUAACCGCUUACUCCCUAGUGCGGGGUCACGGGGUGCUGGAGCCCAUCCCAGCUGGCUACGGGCGAGAGGCAGGGUACACCCUGGACAGGUCGCCAGUCCAUCGCAGAGCAACACAUAGACAGACAACCAUUCACUCACACACUCACACCUACGGGCAAUGGAGAGAGGCCAAUCAACCUAAUACACGUCUUUGGACUGUGGGAGGAAGCCGGAGAACCCGGAGAGAACCCACGCAAGCACGGGGAGAACGUGCAAACUCCACACAGAAAGGCGCCAGGGUCGCCUCCGGGAAUCGAACCCAGAAGCUUCUUGCUGUGAGGCGACAGUGCUACCCACCGCACCACGCCCUAAAAGACAAACAUAUAUCAUAAAUUAUUAGUCAGUCAAAUGGAACAUCAGAUGUUUAGACUUGAUGUACGUCAGGGCACAAGAGAGUAUUUGUUUGUGUAAGAAUGUUCAGUAUUGCACCUAACCAGCACAUGACGAGUGUGUUGGAUAAGAAAUAGCACAAGGCAAAAUUUUUCCAUUACAACAUCAAUACGUAGAGAGAUGAUAAUUUCCGCCAGACAUCUGGAGAAAAACGCAGGAGACACGUUUUGAAAUUGUGGGUGUGACUGCAAUCUUUAGUCCUCAAACAUAAAAUUCAAACCAGUUGCUCAUUAAAGCUUUGGGAUUCAUAAAGUGAAGUUAUUUCUUUCAUAACUAUUAUUAUUCUGGAAUAAGCCUAUUCAUCAGUGUUGAAACUCUGCUUUCACAGAGCAGAGUGAGCCUGAGUUUCCCGUUUUUCGUCUCCAUGGCAACGACGCUCUCUAUUCUAAUGCAGAACUGAGCGCGAUGAGGAUAAAUCCGGAUCUGGACUCCUUUCCCACCAUCAGCAGAAAAACCGAAGGAGAAGAAGCGCCUGACCAACAACCAGAAGCUCUGAUACCACAGCAGCUGGAGGACACAGACCACAGCAUGGACGCCUCAGCGACUCCCACAACGUCUGCAGCCAUCACGUUCUGGGUUCAUCAGAUAAACCAGCUACUACAAGCGUGUGUGUCUGACACAGACACGUGCUUAUGACAAUCAGCAAAGGAAAACAAGGACAGAGCAACAGCAGAGUGAGAAGACGUGCGCUGACACAGACACUGGUUGAAACAACAGGAGAGGCUUCAGACGUGAUUGGCCCAAUAGAGCUGCAUGCGAGGAUCCAGGAAAGGUCUGUCAUCGAGGAACAACUGUCCCAUCGAAAGGCUUCACCCACUGGCGCUCACAUGGGACUGAUGGUUGGGGAAGGAGGAAGGUGACGGUUCCUUUUCACGUGACAUAGAAGACGGUACCGCAAAUCAUACAUACACACAUUUAUACACGCAAUGAAGAAACACGCUUAGAGCUGAUACACGCUCAAAUUCAUGCUUAUCUGCUUCCAAUGAAGAAUCGCUUUUUGCUCAAAAAAAAUCCCACAGAGUGAUUUUAAAUGAUGACAAACAGCUAAAUGACAACUGCUGCAUGACUUUGCAGUCUGAUGGGUUUAAACAAUUUUAACUUGCAACAAAUUCAGUAAUAAAAUCCUUCAUGUUUCUAAAAAGAUUUGUGCACAAUAUAGGUAUGUCUAGCCAGACUGUAGGAAAACAAAGCAGACUAUAGGAAAACAAAACAAAAACAAAACCAGACUAUAGGAAAACUGAAACUGACUGAAACAGACUAUUAAUGACUAUUAAAGGGAAGACGACUAUUAGAGAGAAGUAAUAUUAAUCACUGUACGUACCAGACUAUUAAAGAAAAACUUAUUCUUUCACUGUCUUGUGCAACAUCUGACAGCAAGACACCUUGAGAUUUAUUGUUGCUUUCAAAUUUAUGGCCAGUUAAUUUUUUAGGAAGAGAUCUCAUGUGUAAUUUAGGUAUUUGAUUGUUUUCCAGCAGGUUACAGCUACAGACAUUCUAAAUAAUCUCUCUUUUGUUGUUGUUAACCUCAGCUUAGCUGUGCUCUUAUCAUUAGCUGCUGAGGGGAAGCUGUAACUGAGGCCCUCACACAGGCUGCAUCACAGCUUGUUUCCCCAUGUGAUAAGACCUCCAGAGACGCAUCUGACCUGUCCUGUACAGCACAUGUGUCUUCUGGUCCUGAUGACAGGUUUGAAGAGUUAUGAUUUAACACACACAGUAACAAACUGACCGCAACUUCCCUCUUUUGGGAUGAACACAGGUCUGCGCUUGCGAUUUCUUUUACUAACGAACAAAAAAAUUUUUGAUUUUUAUUCUACAGUUCCACACGUCACUCUGUGAAAACAUGAUGGAGACAGAUGCAGGACGUGGGUGCUUUCGUGAACAGAUGUCAACGGGGUGGAGACUGGUGAACGACUUCCGACCCCAUGUGACGUAUUUACCCACAUUACAUGCUUUUGCUUUUAUUUUUACUUUUCACAGGACGGUCUGACCCAACACUCAGCCUUACAGGAAGCCCCUGCUUCCCUGUGGCUCACACACAGACAUGAUGUAGGUCUAAUGAGAGGAUGUGAACCAGUGGUCAUCACACCUAAAUCUGACCACAGACCAUGUAAAUAACAACACCCUCUUAAAGGAAGCCAUACUGUAGAUGGCAUUACUGCAGACACCACUAAUCUACUGAAACAUUGGAUGCUACAGGCCACAAAGAGCCUGUCUAAAUUACAGUUAGUUCAGACAAAGGUCAUUUUUCUGGGUCAUUGUAAUUACAGCUGAUGGCAAAUCUAUCUCACCCAACAGAGUUGAAGCAAUUUGAAACCUGCCUAAACCGUGCAAGUAAAAACAGCUUAUUUUUUUCUAGGGUUUUGUUCUUACUGUAGGACCUUCAGUCCUAACUUUACCUUCUCUGAGGCCCCACUCAGGGUUCUGAUGCAGACAUCUUCAUCGUCCACUUCUUGUCUCACGUGGACAUCUGAGGCUGAACAACGUUCACUGACCUCAUGCUUGCUCUUCAGUCGGCUCCUACUUUGGGUCUUCCUGAUCUGACCCUACGCGACCUUUCACUCAAACAGUGGAGAAAUCAGGUUGUACGACUUCUGUUCUUUUGUCCUCAUACUGUGUCUUUGAUUCUUUUGAAAUAGAUCACAUCUUUCUGUCAUGAUUUGGGUUUUGUUUCCAGUUGUUUACUGUCAUGAUUCAUGUCAUCUGGCACAUCCUGUUUUAUUUUGUUAACUUCCUGUCACUCUCCGGUUCUCAUUAUCCACACCUGUUGCCAGUCAGCAAUCAGUAUCAGUAUAUAGCCUCCACCUCUCACAGACUCCAGUUGCCAGAUUGUUAGUUUCCGCUUUGUGUAUGAUCUGGACCGCCUGACCCUGCCUUAUCUAAUAAACCUGUGCUUAACCAUAAUCGUGCCUCUGUGCUGUGCAUGUGGGUCCGCCACCUGUCGGCCAAGUUGAGAGUGUUCCCGUCCCUGUCGGCCACGUUGAGGGCGUUCCCGUCCCUGUCGGCCACGUUGAGGCUGCCCCAGUUCCCGUCCCUGUUGGCCAAGUUGAGGCUGCCCCAGUUCCCGUCCCUGUCGGCCAAGUUGAGGGCGUUCCCGUCCCUGUCGGCCAAGUUGAGGGCGUUCCCGUCCCUGUCGGCCAAGUUGAGGGCGUUCCCGUCCCUGUCGGCCAAGUUGAGGGCGUUCCCGUCCCUGUCGGCCAAGUUGAGGGCGUUCCCGUCCCUGUCGGCCACGUUGAGAGCGUUCCCGUCCCUGUCGGCCACGUUGAGGCUGCCCCAGUUCCCGUCCCUGUCGGCCAAGUUGAGGCUGCCCCAGUUCCCGUCCCUGUCGGCCAAGUUGAGGCUGCCCCAGUUCCCGUUCCUGUCGGCCAAGUUGAGGCUGCCCCAGUCCCCGUUCCUGUCGGCCCUGUAGCGGUCGUUCCAGUCCCCGUUCCUGUCGGCCCUGUAGCGGUCGUUCCAGUCCCCGUUCCUGUCGGCCCUGUAGCGGUCGUUCCAGUCCCCGUUCCUGUUGACCCGAGAGAGGUCGUUCCAGCCCCUGUCACCCUCGGAGCCGCAGCGCCUGCGCACCUCCAGGAGGAGACGGCGCCAGCUGCAGUCCCCGCGCACCUCCAGGAGGAGGUCGCGCCAGCUGCAGUCCCGGCGGACCUCCAGGAGGGGGUCGCGCCCGCCGCAGUCCCGCCGGACCUCCAGGAGGGGGUCGUGCCCGCCGCAGUCCCGGCGGACCUCCAGGAGGGGGUCGCGCCCGCCGCAGUCCCGGCGGACCUCCAGGAGGGGGUCGUUCCCGCCGCAGCUCCCGACGAUCCCCAGGAGGGGGUCGCUCCUGCCGCAGCGCCCGUCGCAGUCCCGGCGGACCUCCAGGAGGGGGUCGUUCCCGUCGCAGCUCCCGCUGCACCUGCAUCCGCACCUGGCGGCCCGGCUCCGGCCGCACCUGCAUCGGUUCCUGGCGGCCCGGCUCCGGCCGCUCCUGCAUCGGUUCCUGGCGGCUCGGCUCCGGCCGCAUCUGCAUCGGUUCCUGGCGGCUGGGCUCCGGCCGCAUCUGCACCUGUCUCUCGUCGCGGUGAUCCAAGGAGGACGCCGCUGGUUCCUGUCUCUCGUCGCGGUGGUCCAAGGAGGACGCCGCUGGUUCCCGUCUCUCGUCGCGGUGGUCCAAGGAGGACGCCGCUGGUUCCCGUCUCUCGUCGCGGUGGUCCAAGGAGGACGCCGCUGGUUCCCGUCUCUCGUCGCGGUGGUCCAAGGAGGACGCCGCUGGUUCCCGUGUCUCGUCGCGGUGGUCCAAGGAGGACGCCGCUGGUUCCCGUGUCUCGUCGCGGUGGUCCAAGGAGGACGCCGCUGGUUCCCGUCUCUCGUCGCGGUGGUCCAAGGAGGACGCCACUGGUUCCCGUGUCUCGUCGCGGUGGUCCAAGGAGGACGCCGCUGGUUCCCGUCUCUCGUCGCGGUGGUCCAAGGAGGACGCCGCUGGUUCCCGUCUCUCGUCGCGGUGGUCCAAGGAGGAUGCCGCUGGUUCCUGCCUCGUCCUUGGCUCGGCUGCCGGACUGGUGGCCUCGCCCUCGGCGCCUCCUGCUGCGUGGAUGGCGCUGCCUCCUGCGGCGCCGUCCGCCUCGACUCCUCAACCUCCUGGAUCAGCGUCCGCCAGGAGGACGCUGGGGCACUGGGUGUGCCCCUCUGCCUCAGCGGCGGCUGGGCAGGGUCUCGCCGCGUCUCCACCCGCCUUAAGAGGGAGACGUCGUUGUUGUUUUUCCUGUUCGUGGACUUUUGUCUUGUCGUGUGGACUCUUGUUUUGGCCCUCCUCCGGUCCUCCCUCCACCCACCCUGCUCGUUUGCCUUGAGGGGUUGGGAUUCGGUCCCUCCUCCUGGGACCACCCUCCGCCCGCCAUGGUUUGGGGGGGGGGGGGGCUUCCGUGGGCGCCGUGGAAGGCGCCAUAGGGGGGGGGGGUACUGUCAUGAUUUGGGUUUUGUUUCCAGUUGUUUACUGUCAUGAUUCAUGUCAUCUGGCACAUCCUGUUUUAUUUUGUUAACUUCCUGUCACUCUCCGGUUCUCAUUAUCCACACCUGUUGCCAAUCAGCAAUCAGUAUCAGUAUAUAGCCUCCACCUCUCACAGACUCCAGUUGCCAGAUUGUUAGUUUCCGUACUCUUUCCAGCAUCUCAUGUUUAGCUACUCGUGUUUUGACCCUGAUCGCCUUGACCAUUGCUUCUGCCUGAACCUCGUGUAUCCCGCUGCCCGUGAGAGAACCGUGCCUAAUAAUCUGACCGUGAGUUUGUCUUAUCCUUGCCUGUACUUUUGCCGAGUCUGCUUGUGUAACGAACCCUGCCUGGACAUUGGAUUAGAGAUCGCCUGCUCCCGUGUGUAGUACUUCACUGAACGCUUUGUGUAUGAUCUGGACCGCCUGACCCUGCCUUAUCUAAUAAACCUGUGCUUAACCAUAAUCGUGCCUCUGUGCUGUGCAUGUGGGUCCGCCACCUGCCCAAGUCUGACACUUUCUACAGCCCGAUGACUUAGAUACAACACCACUUUGCUCAACAUGCUGAACGUUACUAUCAAGAGGUCGUCUUGAAGUCUAGUGCUUUGCUAAGACACUACUCUGCUCAGGCUGCAGAGUUGAUCGUAUUGACUGAAGCUAGUAAACUAGCAGAAGGAGAGUCUGUUACCAUCUACACAGACUCCACAGAUGCUCUGUGGAAGCAUAGGAAGCUUUUUAAGUCUGAUUGCAAACCUAUCUCACAUCAUGAUUAGGUUCUGCUGUUUUUAACCGUCCGACUCACACCAUCAGUGACGACUUUGUUUCUGCCGACAUGCAGCAGCAGAUGCUGCUGCGAAGGUCGCUGCCCAACAACCCCUCCCUCUCCUGAUCCUUGUUCCCUCUCCUCGUUUCCUUUCCACCCUCUCCUUCCUCAUCUCCCUGUGCUUUAAACAUUUUCUACCUCACAGGAACGCAGACUCUGGCAGACGAAUGUUUCCAUCUGUAGCAAUGGAGUCUGGUUUAGGCCUGAUGGCAGCCGUGCCGCCCAAACACCUUUUCCCCAUAAUUCAGAUUUCCCAACAGGUGAAAACAGUCGACAGGACCACUACACCAUCCAACCAGGGGACUGGGCGAUCGUUAAGGAGUUUAGGAGGAAGCAUUGGGACUCCAAACGAUGGCGUUUCCAAACGACCCCUUCCAGGUCCUUCUGACGACCCACACGGCUGUAAAGAUCGCAGAAAGAGUGACUUGGAUCCAACUCCAUCCAGGAAGGUCCCGGAUCCGACAGACGACCCUCCAUCUACACCACUCGGAGAAUUCACCACUAACGAAAGGAACUGAGAAGAACGACCCUCGCUGUGCUCACACACGCACUGAGGCGAGGCUGCGUUGACCAUUCAGCUAAAGGUGUGAGCCAAGCGCCGCCUGAAGCUGCGCCGGUGAAUCACAGUAUCAGACCAUACAUCUACACACACGUUCCUGAGAAAACACACACACGAGCAGCCUUGAGUUGCCGACGCUGGACGACGUGUAGACUCUUCACAUCACGGGAGUGACAGUGACUCAGACGACAUUGGGAGGAAACCUGGCGGUGAUAACGAAUCCCAAGUGUCUCUGUGAUCAGCUGAUCACAACCUGAAGAACCCCAACGAACUGUCAAUACUUCAACACACAGGUUGGAAACAAUCUAACGCUGUUCAACAGGACGAAGCAGAAUGUUACAAGACAUCAAUUGUAACCUUGUUUUGUUAAACUUCAUUUUAUGUUACAUGAAUUAUUGCCUUUAUCAUAUGAUGUUUCCAUGUAACUUUGCACACUACUAUUGAAGAAGAAAAUUUCACAACAACACUGAGUUAAAUAUCCUGAAGUUGACUUGGUGUUUGAUUUGCUCACAAUCACUUUAUUCACUGCUACAAAAAUUUUUUAUCCUUCAUCUACAGAUGAAAGACAACACAAGAGGAAAUAUGCAUCAUCAUUCUGGUUUAAUCCCUGAUUCUCUUAUUCAUUCUAGACCCAAAUGUACUGAAAGUUAUCCAACUGUGUCAGGUUCUGGCUCUGUUCCUUGUUUUAUUUUGGUUCCUGUUUCCAUUUCCGGUUUUAUUUUGGUAGCACUCCCGGUUUCUGUUUCUGCUCCUGCUUUACUUCCUGUUUACCCGUUGUCACAGCUGUCCCCUGUCAGUACCGGUCUUCAUUACACACACCUGUUUAGUAUCAGUAAUCAAGUCACGUUGUAUUUAACCACCACCUGUGUCCUCAGUUCCCCGCCAGAUCGUUGUUUGUGUGUACCUUGUCAUAGUCCAGUUCAUUGAUCCUGUCCGGCCGUAUAUCAUGUACCCUGUUCCUGACUGCUGAUUUUGAGCCUGCCUUAUCCCUGCCUGUCUUGUCUGCCCUGGUCUUCUGUUCUGCCUGUUGCUGAUCUUGCCUGCCUGACCACGACCUGACGCUCGACGAUUCCGGUAUUGUAAUCUCUCUCGUGUAUGAACCUUGCCUGUCCCUGACGCCGUCUCUGCCUGUCCUCGUUGAACCUGGAAUAAAACCUUCCCUAUCACUUUCCAAGCUGUGUCGUGCUGUGCAUGUGGGUCCUCAUCUGUGCGAUCGUGACAGAACGAUCUGGCCAAACUUGGACCCAGCCAGCACUCAGCCGUCGCCCAGGUCAGUGACUGUUUUUGUUUCUUGCUUUUUGGCUACGAGUAUCAGUCAACCACGGGGGGAAUGGAGUUUACAUGCGCCGAGCUACCCAGCGACCUACGCGUUUAUUUUAAAAUCCUCGCGGAGGAUUACCGAAGGGUGCUCGAUCCGAAAACCCAGCGAUGUGCCGUGGAGGUGGCGAUGUGGACCUUGGAGGACGAGGACAGCGUGCUAGAGCGCCCCAGUGUCCGUCUCCUCUACGAACGAUUGUGCGCGCGACUCGGCGAGUUGGACAGCGCGCUCCGCACCACGCCAGCCCCGGUCGCACCGCCCAUGGUUUCGGUUUCCUUCUCUCAGCCCCGUCGGACCGUCGUGCCUGCACCCACCUGCCCAGCUCCAUGUUUGCUCCGCUGGGAGGACUCCCUGCACUCAUGCGGUCCUCAGUCUCCAGUCCAGCCGCGCUCUGUUCAGUCUCCAGUCCAGCCGCGCUCUGUUCGGUCUCCAGUCCAGCCGCGCUCUGUUCGGUCUCCAGUCCAGCCGCGCCCUGUUCAGCCUUCAGUCCAGCCGCGCCCUGUUCAGCCUUCAGUCCAGCCGCGCCCUGUUCAGCCUUCAGUCCAGCCGCGCCCUGUUCAGCCUUCAGUCCAGCCGCGCCCUGUUCAGCCUUCAGUCCAGCCGCGCCCUGUUCAGCCUUCAGUCCAGCUGCGCCCUGUUCAGCCUUCAGUCCAGCCGCGCCCUGUUCAGCCUUCAGUCCAGCCGCGCCCUGUUCAGCCUUCGGUCCCGUUCCAGUCGAGCCCAGCUCAGGUCCCGUUCCAGCCGAGCCCAGCUCAGGUUCCCGUCCAGUCGAGUCGAGUCCCGUCCCAGUCCAGUCGAGUCCCGUCCCAGUCCAGUCGAGUCCCGUCCAGGCCCCCGUCCAGUCGAGUCUAGUCCAGGCCCCCGUCCAGUCGAGUCACGUCCAGACCCCAGUUCAGUCGAGUCCUGUCCCAGUACAGUCGAGUCCUGUCCCAGUACAGUCGAGUCCUGUCCCAGUCCAGUCGAGUCACGCCUGGCGCUGCCUCCUGCGGCGCCGUCCGCCUCGACUCCUCAGCCUCCUGGAUUAGCGUCAGCCAGGAGGACAUCGCCGUUCGGGGGGGUUCCCGUGGACGCUGGCCCAGCCCAAGGGCACUGGGUGUGGCCCCCUGCCUCAGACGGCUGUGCAGGAUCUCGCCGCGUCUCCACCCUCCGUGAGGGAAUUCCUGGACUCUGCGUUUUCCUGGCCGUGGACUUUCUGUUUUUGUGUUGUGGACUCUUGAUCUGACCCUCCUCCGGUCCUCCCUCCACCCAACCUGCUUGGUUGCCUUGAGGGGGUGGGAUUCGGUCCCUCCUCCUGGGACCGCCCUCCGCCCGCCCUGGUUUGGGGGGGGGGGCUUCCGUGGGCGCCGUGGAAGACGCCCUAGGGGGAGGGGUACUGUCAGGUUCUGGCUCUGUUCCUUGUUUUAUUUUGGUUCCUGUUUCCAUUUCCGGUUUUAUUUUGGUAGCACUCCCGGUUUCUGUUUCUGUUCCUGCUUUACUUCCUGUUUACCCGUUGUCACAGCUGUCCCCUGUCAGUACCGGUCUUCAUUACACACACCUGUUUAGUAUCAGUAAUCAAGUCAUGUUGUAUUUAACCACCACCUGUGUCCUCAGUUCCCCGCCAGAUCGUGUGUACCUCGUCAUAGUCCAGUUCAUUGAUCCUGUCCGGCCGUAUAUCAUGUACCCUGUUCCUGACUGCUGAUUUUGAGCCUGCCUUAUCCCUGCCUGUCUUGUCUGCCCUGGUCUUCUGUUCUGCCUGUUGCUGAUCUUGCCUGCCUGACCACGACCUGACGCUCGACGAUUCCGGUAUUGUAAUUUCUCUCGUGUAUGAACCUUGCCUGUCCUCGUUGAACCCGCAUACCUGGAAUAAAACCUUCCCUAUCACUUUCCAAGCUGUGUCGUGCUGUGCAUGUGGGUCCUCAUCUGUGCGAUUGUGACAACCUGAUUAGAGGUCUCAUCAUGCGUGCGACCUCAGCAACACUCUCGUAUCAAAUGACACAAUGCUCUAUGUUCAAAAACCCCAACUCUAAUUCACUUAAUGACUUUGACAAUAGUCUUAGGCAAUCUGAUCAAAAAAUAUAAUUCUGAUACAAAUACGAUUAUUGACUUAUUUUCUUCACAUGCUCAUACAGAGGUUAUUCUUGUAUAACUACCCACCAAAACAGCUCCCAAACUUUUAUCCCUAAGUUACAUGCAUUUUAUGUGAAGGUGUAUUUUUGAAUUUUGACUUAAUACACUCACUGUUUCAUUUGUAAGGGCCGUUAAUAUUUCAAAAUGCAAUGUUUGAAAUUUUUUAUUAUUUUAGUGUUUGAUUAAUGUGUAAUCAAAAGGGGGGAAUGUAAUGGAAAAAUUUUGCCUUGUGCUAUUUCUUAUCCAACACACUCGUCAUGUGCUGGUUAGGUGCAAUACUGAACAUUCUUACACAAACAAAUAAUCUCUUGUGCCCUGACGUACAUCAAGUCUAAACAUCUGAUGUUCCAUUUGACUGACUAAUAAUUUAUGAUAUAUGUUUGUCUUUUACACCCGGACUCUGGCUCCAUCCUAUCUGACUCCCCACCAGACCCAAGGCUGUUAAAGCGAAUGCAUCUUGUCUUGGAAGCUCAGUGUUCCUUCCUUUGGAUAACAAGACAUGACGAUGCAGAAGUGAGAAAGCAAACAUUCUCACUCACAGCGAGAUAAAGUGGCACAAACAAUUCCAUUGCUGCAGCGAAACAUUCCACCAGAGCCAGAGAAAGGGGUUAAAAGGCAGAGACAACUUGAGGAUCGUGGGCUCUUUGCAUCACACCUCCGUGGUGUGUGCACUGAUCUCCCCAGCUGGUUUUUGGUUUGUUGAUGUGCACGAUCAACAUCCAUGCUUUUUAUUUGCUUUCCCCAUUAUUUUAUUUUCUUUAUUAUUUCAAUAAAUCGCACAAAAGGACAA